This 252-nucleotide ribosomal RNA is filed under the name uncultured bacterium. Its description in RNAcentral is "partial 16S ribosomal RNA". It matches the Rfam family "Bacterial small subunit ribosomal RNA", at positions 524 to 776 of the family's 1533-position model. The record is from RNAcentral.
UACGGAGGGUGCAAGCGUUACUCGGAAUCACUGGGCGUAAAGAGCGUGUAGGCGGAUAGAUAAGUCAGAAGUGAAAUCCAAUAGCUUAACUAUUGAACUGCAUUUGAAACUGGCAGACUAGAGUACUGUAGAGGGGGUAGAAUUUCAGGUGUAGCGGUGAAAUGCGUAGAGAUCUGAAGGAAUACCGGUGGCGAAGGCGGCCCCCUGGACAGAUACUGACACUCAGAUGCGAAAGCGUGGGGAGCAAACAGG